GCUUUCUUGUGGAUAUGGCCGCAACC
This 26-nucleotide ribosomal RNA is filed under the name Nakaseomyces glabratus. RNAcentral also lists the same sequence under 1 other name. Lineage: Eukaryota; Fungi; Ascomycota; Saccharomycetes; Saccharomycetales; Saccharomycetaceae. The record is from RNAcentral.